RNAcentral lists this long non-coding RNA (4089 nucleotides) under Homo sapiens (human). Its description in RNAcentral is "HSALNT0307922". The record is from RNAcentral. Lineage: Eukaryota; Metazoa; Chordata; Mammalia; Primates; Hominidae.
UUCACUUUUGGAGAGUGCUAUUGUUUGGGUAGGAUUUUUUAAGCUUAAUUCACAAAGACAUUUUUUAAAUAUUAAAAUUCAUGCCCUUUGAUUGAUCAAGGAGGAGGCAGGAUAAUGUAUUUUUUUCCCCUCGUACCAGAGUUUAAUACAGGCUAUAUCUCCUUUGGCAAAUCACCUAUCCCGAUAAAAAACAAAACUGUUUUUAAAUCUCAGCUCUGUAAUCCUUAGAGCUUAAAGAUAAAGGAAAAAAAAUGACCUUCUUUUUGUCCAUUAGUCAAUUACAGGAAGCAUUAUUCUUUCCAUAUUACCACGUUAUGAAUCUGAUUUCAAAGUAAGUAUUCUAAUGAAAAGAGAAGCACUUAACUUUUUAAAAAAAUUCCAACUGACUCUGCAAAUGAAAUUUUUAAACCAAGGUACCAGGAGAGGAAAAAGACCUUAUGUUCUAAAGCCACCAUCAUAUGAAAUAAAUUAUUCUGUCUUUUAUGUAUCCGAAUGGUAGUAGUUAUAUGCCAUCCUUGGGAGAACUGAAGAAAUGGUCACUCAAGUCAUUCUGUAUGUUUUGUGUUUCUGAGGAGCCCUCACUGAGAAAGGCUGGCAGAGUCAGAAAAAAAAAAUUCGUGUUCUUUAAACAGGGUAUAGUCGGGGUUUUUUUUUUUGUGAUUGGGGCUUUUUAAAAAGAGAGGUACUCUGGAAAAGGAGACAGAACAUAUUUAAGUCCUACUUUUAGCAUGUGAAGGAGCUAGAUUCUACAUUUUCUUAAAUACUCUGAUGAGUUAAAUGGAACUAACACUCAAAUGCCACCAAAUCCCCCCACCACUGAUAGUUAACAAUGACAGCAUCUCCGACUGCUUCUUGCAUCUUUGCUAUCUGCCUGACUCCAUUCUGAGUGCUUUGCAUCAAUUCUCCUGUAAUUCUCUUUAAUAUGAGAUAAGUAUCCCCAGAUUUACAGAUGAAUAAAACUGAGACUCAGCUCACACAGCAGGCCCAAGAUUGUCCAGUUAAAUAAGGAGCACAAGCAGGAUGGAAGCCAGGCCAGUUCAACUCAAAGGGCCUCACUUAACACCAAGGCCUACUCUGAAGGGUGCAAGACUUCAGGCUUGUAUCCUCAGGUGGGCUGUAAAAUAAGAGGCCUGGACUACACUAGCUCUAAAUUUGUUACCCAGUAUGCUACAGUUAAUUUACCAAGAUACAUAGUGCAAAAACAAGGAAAAAGAUUAACGUCACUUUUUACUAUGAUUUUGUAUAAAAUAAUUGGAAUUUAAAAUAGGGCACAAAACAUUAUCUUUAUGAAACACUUGUUUCUGAAUGAAAUGGAGGAUGGUUUUAGCACCCUAAUACUCAGUUUCAAAACUGUAACAAUAAAGUUACACAAGAUGAUAUAAAUUCUAACCCCUGUAGAAAUGUUGGACUGAUUAUCCAAUUUCAGGAGUUACAGUGUGGCUUUAUGUUUGUUUUCUUUAGUGCUUUGCCAUGGUUUUUAUAUAAUAAAUGAAAAACACAAACAAAAAACACAAAACUGAGUUGUGGAGAAUGAUGACUUCGAUGGAACCAUAAAAUCUCCCCUACACUAAAAAGAAAAGAACACACAGCCACUUUACAUCUGCAAUCCACCUUCCUCAGACCUUUAUCAAUUGCCAUCAGGAGUCUUUGUAAGUAGUGAAGAGUGGUGGAUCAGGAUCUCAUCAGAGGCAGGCACCAAUCUGACUUAAUUCAGGGACUUGGUUAGGUAGGUGACAGAAAAGCUGGGAAGCCAGACCACUGUGAGAACCACAGGCAGCCUCUCCACGGCCUUGGGCAGAAGAAUAAAGAGAGGAGAGAAUGUUGUUGGAGCUCAGGGCCACCCACAGUGGGUGGGGCAUAGGUGAGACGCAGCAGCUCACAGAGGUCUCUAGAGCUGAGGAGACAAGGCUGAGAGUCUGGGAAGCGGGACAGAGUACCCACGUGGAGAAAGCUACAGAGAGAGAGGACUGUAGAGAUCUGUAGCUUCCCUAGAGUCUUCAGCUGAGUACUGACCAGCACAUGUACAUAAGUAAACUACAAGAGGCCAGAGAGAGGACUAGAGGGAACCAUCUCCAAAUCUUACACAAACAUGCUGCAUGAGCUGGAAAGAGAAAUAUAAAUGCCCUGCUUUCCCCCCAACCCCCGCCCCUCCUCCUUUCCUGUAAUCCUCCCCUUACCUAUGCCUCCCAUUAGCCUGGUGGUUCUCAACCUUGGCUGCACAAACUAGAAUCAACUAGGAAGCUGUAAAAACGUUGAAUGCCUCGGUACACCCCUAGAAAGACUGAUGUAAUUGGUCUGGGUGCAACCUGGGCAUUAGGAGCUUUAAAAGCUCUCUUGGUGAGUUGAGAACCAAUACAUUAGCCGAACCCAAGUAGAAGACACGAGAACAGACCCUGGAAAACAUAGCCUACAGAAAUCAGCACCCUUUCAUACGGGGCAAGGAGAGGAUCUGAGAGCCUGUGGGCCUAAGAUCAGCAAAGAUGGCACAAAGAGAUGGGUAGAAAUAAGAUGAUGAGAAGAAGGAGAAAAAAAAGUAGGCAUGAUCUUCCUUAAACCCUUCAGUGGCCAGCUCACAUUGAACACCCGGCUGCAGAGUUUCUUCCCUCUUAUAAUACUUACUGCUAUUCCUCCAGUGACCAGACUAUCAUGUGCCACCUCCCAUGUGUCCUUGGCUGUGCUGAAGCCCAGCAUCUUGCUAUCUGUUCUGGUUCAUCCUGCAGCAUCCCAUCAGGAAACCCUGGUGUUCCUCCUCUUACUAGCUGCAUCAGAUGAAGAAUUUGUGAAUCUCCACAAAUAUAUGGUAGUGCCAACUCCUAAAAACAAACUUCCAACAGGACAACCACAAAGUACUGAAAUAAUAUACAUGCAUGCAUAAAGGCCAUGGGCAGAUCUACUUCUGUGAUCCUACAAGCAACACAUCAAGGCUCAUAAUUCAGAGAUCAUUUCUCUUCACCAACUACUUAAUGAAUGGUAUUCUUCCAGUGGAAAGUUUAAAUCCCCAAAUCACAACCAAUACCACCUGACUGAGCUCCCAAAAUUAUCACUAAAAGGAACAGAUCCAUUCUACCUAAGUAUGUGGACAUAUUCUCAUUUUAGCUAUCAGACUCUUUUAAAAGCACUUGAAAUAAUUAAUACAUUUUAAUGGACAGAAUGAAAAUUCAAAACAGGUAAAUGACCACAUACUGAUGGAAUUCCCACAGACUCUUGGGAGCAAUAUGACCAUAACAGCCAUCUUCUUCCAUCACAUUAUUAAACAAGAAAUGGAAGAUGCUUUUUGUCCGUAAAAACCAGAAAAUUAAGGUUAAGUGAAUUUUGAAAUGAUGAGUAACUAAUACUACACAGGAAAGAAACACACAAGUCUAAGCUUACCAAAGGAGUAGUAAACCCACUAGGAUUUUAUCAUGAAAAUGCUGCAUAUGUCUCAGACAAAAGGCAAAGGUAGAAGAGAACCAUCUUUUCUUAGCAUGUGGAAAUAACCUAACAAUUCCUUUGAAAAUAGAACCUAUCUAUACACAUGCAACAAAUCUGCACGUUGUGCACGUGUACCCUAAAACUUAAAGUAUAAUAAAAAAAUAAACAAAUAAAACGUGAAAAAAAAGAAAAUAGAACCUAAACACAUACUCUGUACUGAGUCAGUGUUCAACUCAUGCUAUUGACUUAUUAAAUAAUGAUGUCUAAGAACUCCACGCAUUGGUAAGACCUAACUGGGUACCUUUCUGGGAAUGAAUAACAGUGAUUUUAAAGACAUUAUUAACUGCAGUGAGAUUUGCUCAUCUGCCCAAGCUGAAGGGAGGCAUCUGAUUCAUCUCGGUCAAUUUAAACAGCUCAGAUAAUCUAAACAUGGUGUGGACAAAAUUAAAGGGCAUUCCGAGUCCUUAAUAUUAUGUGGGCUCUCUUUCAGAAUGGUCUUACAAAAUGUGCCUCAGGGGUUCUGUGGGUCCAGGAAAUAUCCACACAGUCCCUGACUUUGGUGGUGACAACAAAGGGAUCGAAGAUCUGAGAAAGGGAAGGAACAGAACACCACCUCCCGAAGCAAAACCAAACCAACAAGAAAAAAUACUCACAAUUGCUUAAAGAAAUGGUUGAUAC